This 453-nucleotide ribosomal RNA is filed under the name uncultured Prevotellaceae bacterium. RNAcentral describes it as "bacterial SSU rRNA". It matches the Rfam family "Bacterial small subunit ribosomal RNA", at positions 341 to 792 of the family's 1533-position model. The record is from RNAcentral. Lineage: Bacteria; Pseudomonadati; Bacteroidota; Bacteroidia; Bacteroidales; Prevotellaceae.
ACGGGAGGCAGCAGUGAGGAAUAUUGGUCAAUGGGCGGAAGCCUGAACCAGCCAAGUCGCGUGAAGGAAGACGGUAUUAUGUAUUGUAAACUUCUUUUAUACGGGAAUGAAAAAGGCCACGUGUGGCCUCUUGUAUGUACCGUAUGAAUAAGCAUCGGCUAAUUCCGUGCCAGCAGCCGCGGUAAUACGGAAGAUGCGAGCGUUAUCCGGAUUUAUUGGGUUUAAAGGGAGCGUAGGCGGGUCUUUAAGUCAGUGGUCAAAGCGUGUGGCUCAACCAUACCACGCCAUUGAUACUGGAGACCUUGAGUGCACAUAAGGAUGGUGGAAUUCGUCGUGUAGCGGUGAAAUGCUUAGAUAUGACGAAGAACUCCGAUUGCGAAGGCAGCUGUCCGGGGUGUAACUGACGCUAAUGCUCGAAAGUGCGGGUAUCAAACAGGAUUAGAUACCCUGGUA